AUUCCCCUAGUAACGGCGAGUGAAGCGGGAACAGCUCAAAUUUGAAAUCUGGCCCUCGGGUCCGAAUUGUAAUUUGCAGAGGAUGCUUUUGGUUAGGUACUUUCCGAGUUCCCUGGAACGGGACGCCUUAGAGGGUGAGAGCCCCGUACGGUUGGAUACCGAGCCUUUGUAAAGCUCCUUCGACGAGUCGAGUAGUUUGGGAAUGCUGCUCUAAAUGGGAGGUAAAUUUCUUCUAAAGCUAAAUACCGGCCAGAGACCGAUAGCGCACAAGUAGAGUGAUCGAAAGAUGAAAAGCACUUUGAAAAGAGGGUUAAAUAGCACGUGAAAUUGUUGAAAGGGAAGCGUUUAUGACCAGACUUUUUCCAGGCGAAUCAUCCGGUGUUCUCACCGGUGCACUUCGUCUGGUGGAGGCCAGCAUCGGUUUUCGUAGAGGGAUAAAAGCUUUAGGGAUGUGAUUCCCCCGGGAAUGUUAUAGCCUAUUGUAUCAUACCUUUAUGGGGACCGAGGUUGGCGCUCUGCAAGGAUGCUGGCGUAAUGGUCAUCAACGACCCGUCUUGAAACACGGACCAAGGAGUCGAACAUUUGUGCGAGUGUUUGGGUGUUAAACCCUCACGCGUAAUGAAAGUGAACGGAGGUGAGAGCCCUUACGGGUGCAUCAUCGACCGAUCCUGAUGGUUUCGGAUGGAUUUGAGUAAGAGCAUAACUGUUCGGACCCGAAAGAUGGUGAACUAUGCGUGGAUAGGGUGAAGCCAGAGGAAACUCUGGUGGAGGCUCGCAGCGGUUCUGACGUGCAAAUCGAUCGUCAAAUCUGCGCAUGGGGGCGAAAGACU
This 830-nucleotide ribosomal RNA is filed under the name Beltraniella sp. CB-2023a. RNAcentral's name for it is "partial large subunit ribosomal RNA". It matches the Rfam family "Eukaryotic large subunit ribosomal RNA", at positions 74 to 932 of the family's 3401-position model. The record is from RNAcentral. RNAcentral also lists the same sequence under 1 other name. Lineage: Eukaryota; Fungi; Ascomycota; Sordariomycetes; Amphisphaeriales; Beltraniaceae.